CUACGUGAGCUACUCCAAGACAGCCUAACAAUAAGGGCCAACCCGUCUCUGUGGCAAAAGAGUGGGAAGAGCUUCGAGUAGAGGUGACAGACCUACCGAACCUAGUUAUAGCUGGUUGCCUGAGAAAUGAAUAGAAGUUCAGCCUCUCGGAUUCUUCCCUCACCACUGUUCUCCUCCCCCUUGACAGCCAAAAGAAGCCGAAAGAGUUAGUCAAAGGGGGUACAGCUCCUUUGACACAAGAUACAACUUUUCCAGAAGGGUAAAGAUCAUAUAUAAACAUUAAGGUAUAAUGUUUUGGUGGGCCUAAAAGCAGCCA
RNAcentral lists this ribosomal RNA (316 nucleotides) under Micropogonias undulatus (Atlantic croaker). Its description in RNAcentral is "partial large subunit ribosomal RNA". It matches the Rfam family "Bacterial large subunit ribosomal RNA", at positions 721 to 1095 of the family's 2925-position model. The record is from RNAcentral. Lineage: Eukaryota; Metazoa; Chordata; Actinopteri; Sciaenidae.